CGAUUUCCUUACAUAGAAAACGAUGGAGUUAGAAUGGAUGGUCUAAUGGAUGGAGACCUAUUGGAAGAUCUCUUCCAAUUCUAAAUCUUAUCAUCCUAUUUUAGGGAGUCAAUGAAGUUUUUGCUAGUCAAAACCUAGCACCAAAGCCACAGGGAUUUUGCUGGUGAACAAUAUGCUUAAUAAAGGCAAGAAUUGGGGGGAGGUGGGUAGAGAAUAAGCUGAUCUUUACUGAUCUCUGGUUCUUUUUUUAAUUCUUGUUUAUAUCUUUUAUUUUUUACAACACCAUAAUUCUCCUAGUAGUUCUAUUCUUCCCCCAUGAAUGAGCUAUCCCAUAGAACAAAUGUUAUUUUUUAGAGAUUAAGAAAAAAGAAAAGGACAAAGGAAAACAUCAACAUAACUGCUGAUCUUUGGUUCUGAUUUAAAUUCAUUUUCAUGCUAUUCUAUCGGAAUUCUAAGCAAGAUCAUUGUCUGGAACUUAGGGCUAAAAUCUCUGUCAAGAUAUCAGUGUAAAAAAUUUUAAAAAAUCAUUCUUAGUCAAAUUACCCUUUGACCAUCUUUUGUUACUUAGGUGUGAUGGCUAUCACUAAUUUGCAUUUAUCCAGAAGAUUUUGGCUACCCUAUCUGAGCCAAAAAACCUACAUCAGCUAAGAGGGUCAGUGAAGUUUCACUGAAAGUCAAAAAAAGGUGAAGGGAGUGGUGACCUUUUGAAUUUUGAAAGAUCUAGAGAAUACUUCAGCAUCCUGGAUUCCAUAGUCUGGGCUCCAGAGCCAAUUCAGCAUCACUUCUCUAAGAAGCAAGGAGUGACCUUCAAGAUCUCUGGCCAAUGGAAGCUGAAAUGAAGAUUCAUUCAGCAAUAAUGCCACAUCAAUUGAGGAAGUGACUUAAAUCUCUAAUCUACCCUGUCCUCAUGGAGUAUGAGGGGGCAGGAAAUUUUGUUCUUGUAAUAUUUUAAAAGUAAAUAUCUCUUAGUAAAAGCUAAUUGAUGGUAAGUGGUUAAAUGGAACUGAGAUUAGUCAGUAGCAACUAACAAUGGGGAAACAGAGUCAGUGUUGACUCAAGUCAAUUAGCAAUAGAGAAGAGCCAUCCUUCCAAACCUUUAAGAACCUUUAACAAGCCUGACUCAAAGAGAGAGGACCAAAGUGGCCCUACCACAUACACACGCUGCAGGCAAGGGCAUAUAGAUUAAAAAAAUAUGUUGCCAAGUUUCUAAUAUGAUACGGGUAUCAUUUCUAAGAUAAAGAAUUGAUUAAAAUUUGUGUUUUUUUUUUCUAUCAAUAAUAUUUUCUUUUCCAAUUAUGUGCAAAAAUAAUGUUUUGCAUUCUUCUCUAACACUUUGAGUUCCAAAAUUUCCCCCUCCCUUCUUUUCUCCCUUUCCUUCUCCCAGAGAUAGUAAGCA
RNAcentral lists this long non-coding RNA (1396 nucleotides) under Monodelphis domestica (gray short-tailed opossum). Its description in RNAcentral is "lncRNA (ENSMODG00000036575.1)". Lineage: Eukaryota; Metazoa; Chordata; Mammalia; Didelphimorphia; Didelphidae. The record is from RNAcentral.